Molecule: long non-coding RNA, 566 nt
Organism: Astyanax mexicanus (Mexican tetra)
Lineage: Eukaryota; Metazoa; Chordata; Actinopteri; Characiformes; Acestrorhamphidae
Exons: 3
Source: RefSeq, a predicted model, not a curated record
UGUCACGUGAUCAGCAGAGUGUGUGGUGCAUUCUGGGUGUUGUAGUUGUCUGAGAAACUCAGUGGAGGUAAGUGUGGAAGGACAGGGAGUGCCUACAACACCAGACGUGACACUAUCAGUGCCCUGAUUCCACCACGCAAGGAACUUCCCUUAGGGAAAGAAUGUCAAGUUUGGGCUUAUACAAGAAGCACUCGCUUGAUCAUUCUCUCCUUGCCAAAUUCAGCACUGCAGCAGCACUGACCUGUGCUUCACGGACAGGGUUCUGCACGAGCGCGUUGAUGAUGACGAUGAGUCAGAUGAGAGGUUCUUCAUCUCCUCCACUGGCAGAACCAUCCACAACGCCUCCAAUGACCUGGAGCGGCUGCACAAGAAGUAUCAGGUGCCGAAGGUGACCAGCCAGAUGGCCAGACGGGCGUAUGAGACAGCCAGGACAUGCCCGAUGCCGUAAAGUCCAAGGUGGCGGGCUACCUCACCCAUUCGACGGCCACGGCAGAGAAGCACUACCGGAUGAAGGAGAUAAGCUCAGGGGUAGAUGCGUGCCUGAUCCUGAGGAGACUGCGGGGUGA